This 62-nucleotide microRNA precursor is filed under the name Canis lupus familiaris (dog). RNAcentral's name for it is "Cfa-Mir-34-P3c_pre stem-loop". It matches the Rfam family "mir-449 microRNA precursor family", at positions 16 to 75 of the family's 86-position model. Lineage: Eukaryota; Metazoa; Chordata; Mammalia; Carnivora; Canidae. The record is from RNAcentral.
UGGCAGUGUAUUGUUAGCUGGUUGAAUAUAUGAAUGGCAUCAGCUAACAUGCAACUGCUAUC